UUUGCAAUACACGAAAGUGUGACAGGGCUAUCCCGAGUGCCAUCCGCUGAGGAAGGCUUUUACCCAGUCUAGAAAGCUGGGGGAAUAAGGAGAGGGCAAGUCUGGUGUCAGCCGCCGCGGUAAUACCAGCUCUCCGAGUGGUGUGGAUGUUUAUUGGGCCUAAAGCAUCCGUAGCUGGCUAAGUUAGUCCCCUGUUAAAUCCAACGAAUUAAUCGUUGGAUCGCGGGGGAUACUGCUUGGCUAGGGGACGAGAGAGGCAGACGGUAUUUCCGGGGUAGGGGUGAAAUCCUAUAAUCCCGGGAAGACCACCAGUGGCGAAGGCUGUCUGCUAGAACGCGCCCGACGGUGAGGGAUGAAAGCUGGGGGAGCGAACCGGAUUAGAUACCCGGGUAGUCCCAGCUGUAAACGAUGCAGGCUAGGUGUUUGGACGGCCACGUGCCGUUCUAGUGCCACAGGGAAGCUGUUAAGCCUGCCGCCUGGGGAGUACGAUCGCAAG
Molecule: ribosomal RNA, 496 nt
Filed under: uncultured archaeon
Lineage: Archaea
Description: bacterial SSU rRNA
Rfam family: Archaeal small subunit ribosomal RNA
Source: RNAcentral